CUCCUAAUGCAGCUAAUGGACUGCUGAUUCCCAUGGGUUCUGUGCUGUUACAUCUAAAACGCGUUUUAUGAAAGAUGUGUCUGACUGAAGAUGCAGGAAGCAGCUUGAUUGGAAGUUACGUGUCCCAAGUAAGCUGAGGAAUGACGUAGGAAUUGUAACUUUUUGAAAGAGUCACCAACUGGCUCCCCAGCCUGGAGGAAUGAGAGGCAUGUGGGAUAGGCAGGUAAACAAACAAAUCUGUGGAUGUUUGUUAAAAUGCCCAAGCGUUUCAUCUAGGCAAGAGUAAACACUAUCAGCUCUAUUUCUCACAGCAUGAGAAGUGUCCUAGUGUAAUAUCUUGUAUUAGAUGGCAGAUGCAAUCUGGAGAGUGAGGGAUACACCUCUGCCCAAGAAUACAAACCAAACAUUUUAAGGAAUGGAUUAGCUGUGUGUUAAGUGAAUAGCAGUCCCCCACUCUGCAAUAUUUAUUCAUUUGCAAACACCUAGUUGCUUCUGAAUAAACACUAAGAUCAGAGGUAAGCGUAACUUGUCAUUGUGGUGCUGCCUUCAUUGAAUUUCAUGACCCAAUGAUACAUCCCAGAUAGUAACAGGAAUCCUGUGAGAUCAUUUCCUUCCAGACAAGGUACACAAACUUUUUUUUUAACACUAAGCUGUAAUGGAGCCAUCAGAAAUGUCUAAUUAUUGUCCCUUUUACAGGCGAGAAUGCAGGCAGCACUGUAAGGGGGCCCCAGACUAACCAUGCGUCCAGGCCAUCACAGCUGCCUCAGGGCUGGCAUUUUUUAGUGAUUGAUUCUUGGGCAAGUCUUGAAGAUGGCAGUGAGUUCUGCCUGCUGCAAGUAACACUCUUUCAAGCAACUCUUUGGUUUUGAUCUGGCUAUUAUGCAGAUGUUGAAGUGCACAGCAGUGAAC
This 909-nucleotide long non-coding RNA is filed under the name Anas platyrhynchos platyrhynchos (common mallard). Its description in RNAcentral is "lncRNA (ENSAPLG00000025375.1)". The record is from RNAcentral. Lineage: Eukaryota; Metazoa; Chordata; Aves; Anseriformes; Anatidae.